RNAcentral lists this ribosomal RNA (254 nucleotides) under uncultured bacterium. Its description in RNAcentral is "partial 16S ribosomal RNA". It matches the Rfam family "Bacterial small subunit ribosomal RNA", at positions 524 to 777 of the family's 1533-position model. The record is from RNAcentral.
UACGAAGGGGGCUAGCGUUGCUCGGAAUCACUGGGCGUAAAGCGCGCGUAGGCGGAUUGUUAAGUCAGGGGUGAAAUCCUGGAGCUCAACUCCAGAACUGCCUUUGAUACUGGCGAUCUCGAGUCCGGGAGAGGUGAGUGGAACUGCGAGUGUAGAGGUGAAAUUCGUAGAUAUUCGCAAGAACACCAGUGGCGAAGGCGGCUCACUGGCCCGGUACUGACGCUGAGGUGCGAAAGCGUGGGGAGCAAACAGGG